Molecule: ribosomal RNA, 1061 nt
Filed under: Salmonella enterica
Lineage: Bacteria; Pseudomonadati; Pseudomonadota; Gammaproteobacteria; Enterobacterales; Enterobacteriaceae
Description: bacterial SSU rRNA
Rfam family: Bacterial small subunit ribosomal RNA
Source: RNAcentral
AAAUUGAAGAGUUUGAUCAUGGCUCAGAUUGAACGCUGGCGGCAGGCCUAACACAUGCAAGUCGAACGGUAACAGGAAGCAGCUUGCUGCUUUGCUGACGAGUGGCGGACGGGUGAGUAAUGUCUGGGAAACUGCCUGAUGGAGGGGGAUAACUACUGGAAACGGUGGCUAAUACCGCAUAACGUCGCAAGACCAAAGAGGGGGACCUUCGGGCCUCUUGCCAUCAGAUGUGCCCAGAUGGGAUUAGCUUGUUGGUGAGGUAACGGCUCACCAAGGCGACGAUCCCUAGCUGGUCUGAGAGGAUGACCAGCCACACUGGAACUGAGACACGGUCCAGACUCCUACGGGAGGCAGCAGUGGGGAAUAUUGCACAAUGGGCGCAAGCCUGAUGCAGCCAUGCCGCGUGUAUGAAGAAGGCCUUCGGGUUGUAAAGUACUUUCAGCGGGGAGGAAGGUGUUGCGGUUAAUAACCGCAGCAAUUGACGUUACCCGCAGAAGAAGCACCGGCUAACUCCGUGCCAGCAGCCGCGGUAAUACGGAGGGUGCAAGCGUUAAUCGGAAUUACUGGGCGUAAAGCGCACGCAGGCGGUCUGUCAAGUCGGAUGUGAAAUCCCCGGGCUCAACCUGGGAACUGCAUUCGAAACUGGCAGGCUUGAGUCUUGUAGAGGGGGGUAGAAUUCCAGGUGUAGCGGUGAAAUGCGUAGAGAUCUGGAGGAAUACCGGUGGCGAAGGCGGCCCCCUGGACAAAGACUGACGCUCAGGUGCGAAAGCGUGGGGAGCAAACAGGAUUAGAUACCCUGGUAGUCCACGCCGUAAACGAUGUCUACUUGGAGGUUGUGCCCUUGAGGCGUGGCUUCCGGAGCUAACGCGUUAAGUAGACCGCCUGGGGAGUACGGCCGCAAGGUUAAAACUCAAAUGAAUUGACGGGGGCCCGCACAAGCGGUGGAGCAUGUGGUUUAAUUCGAUGCAACGCGAAGAACCUUACCUGGUCUUGACAUCCACAGAACUUUCCAGAGAUGGAUUGGUGCCUUCGGGAACUGUGAGACAGGUGCUGCAUGGCUG